Molecule: long non-coding RNA, 289 nt
Organism: Bombina bombina (fire-bellied toad)
Lineage: Eukaryota; Metazoa; Chordata; Amphibia; Anura; Bombinatoridae
Exons: 2
Source: RefSeq, a predicted model, not a curated record
CGAAGAAGUUUUGCUGUGAAUUGAUCGGAUCACAUCCUAUGAUUCCAAACGUUAUCAAAGUACGGAUUCCAGAACAGCUUAGAUGGAUUGCACCGGGAUGCUCUGCAGAAACAGCUCUAUCUGCUACAUUUUAAAAUUCUUAGGUUUGAGGACUACAUCAUGAGCAGUAAUGAGGAAGAUGACAGAGCAAAAACACCACCAAAAAAGAAGCAAAGUAUAUGUGUAUAUAUCUAUCAAAGUGGGAUUGGUGGAUUGGACCAGUGCAGUGUAAUAAAUUCAAGGUAAACUG